RNAcentral lists this ribosomal RNA (254 nucleotides) under uncultured bacterium. RNAcentral describes it as "partial 16S ribosomal RNA". It matches the Rfam family "Bacterial small subunit ribosomal RNA", at positions 524 to 776 of the family's 1533-position model. The record is from RNAcentral.
UACGGGGGGAGCAAGCGUUGUUCGGAUUUACUGGGCGUAAAGGGCGCGUAGGCGGCCUCUGCAAGUCGACUGUGAAAUCUCCGGGCUUAACCCGGAACGGUCAGCCGAUACUGCAGGGCUAGAGUGCAGAAGGGGCAACUGGAAUUCUCGGUGUAGCGGUGAAAUGCGUAGAUAUUGGGAAGAACACCGGUGGCGAAGGCGGCUCUCUGGACCGAGACUGACGCUGAGGUGCGAAAGCGUGGGGAGCAAACAGG